This 1552-nucleotide ribosomal RNA is filed under the name Chaetothyriales sp. CR07/3-3. RNAcentral describes it as "partial 18S ribosomal RNA". The stretch from base 208 to 529 matches the Rfam family "Group I catalytic intron". Lineage: Eukaryota; Fungi; Ascomycota; Eurotiomycetes; Chaetothyriales. The record is from RNAcentral.
CCGAUUGAAUGGCUCAGUGAGGCCUUGGGACUGGCUCAGAGAGGUCGGCAACGACCACUCAGAGCCGGAAACUUGGUCAAACUUGGUCAUUUAGAGGAAGUAAAAGUCGUAACAAGGUUUCGUCUUCAAGUGAUGAAGAUGAUCAUAUUAAUGAUCCUUCUGCAGUAAAACUUACGGAAGCCUUUGCGUCCCGAAAGGGUCGGUCUCGUACGACUAUAAACGAAUAACGACGAGCCAUAAUCGCAAGUCUGGCCUUCAGGGGCUGGGCAACACUGUCAAAUUGCGGGAACCCCCUAAAGUCUCUUACACUAAGCCAUGGCCGAAAGGUCGCGGUGGCCAGGGUAAUGCCCUCGGGUAUAGUCACAGCUAAGAGAAUAGAUCGCCUGUUCUAGGCGUGAAAAUGGGCAAUCUGCAGCCAAGUCCUAAGCCCGCCGAGUCGGUGGGUAUGGAUGCAGUUCACAGGCCAAAUGGUAGUGGGUGAGGCGAUGCCUUGCUUAAGAUAUGGUCGGGCCCCUUGGGAAACCUUGGGGAUAAUUUACUGAAUUUCACACCAUGUUGGGAGAGGCGCUCUGUGCACGGAAAAUUUGUGAGAAAGAAUAGUAUUGAUGCUAUGCUAAAAACUGGUGAUAUCAUCAAUACUAUCUAACUCUACCCAAAAAUUUGGGUCGCACAGGCAUGGCCGGGCCGAAUGCACCGCCAGGCAAGCAACAUUUCUGCUGCUUGCCCAGCGGGCAAAGUCGGCCACGGACCAGCCCGGGUCUCUAACCAGACCCACCUUCCCACCGCCACAACAUUUCCUCAAAAUAGAGGGCGCACAAUUUCCUUGUCUGAUUAAUGAUAUUGUGUUCCUGGCACAGGAACAGGGGAUUGAUGUUUCUGUGGCGGUCUGGUCAGCUGCGCUGCAUGGCUCAUGUGUUCGAUUUCCCGCAUACCUCGAUGUAUUUUUGCCGAGAUAUAAUAUGUGGGAAAUAUCCAUGGCCGGUACAAUGUUGUUAUAAUGUUGCUGAUAUGUGAUGCGAUGUGUAAGAUAUUUUGUACCGGAAAUGCGAACUGUGGGCGUGUCAGCGGCUGGUUGACUUGGGGACAUGGUGUUGUGGGAAGACAGGACAAGGUGACAUACUUUGGGAAUAACCAUGAUGUGUAUUUGCAUAAGGAGUAAAAACAGGAACAUUUGGCCAUUGGCCGAGGGCGAUGCCAGCGACUUGCUGGGUCGAGAGGUGCGCAUUCGCGCCGCGAAAACCGGGAGCAGCGACAAUCUGCCGCAGAGCGGCAAGCAGGGCCGCAGCCGAGAGGGAUUCCACCGCCAUGGUGGAUGAGGCAGCGUGAAAAGAAAUCAAGUUCAAAAUGCUGAACAGAAGUCCUUUUCAUCUUUUGCUUCGUCUUCGCUCCUGCCCUUCCCUUCCACCUGUCCACCUCUCAUGGCAGGAACAGUUCCUGCACGCUCCAUAUGGCAAGAACACACUCACACUUAGUUUCCACGUGUCCACCCUUUCCAUGUCUGUCCACAUGUAUAAAGAACCGUUCCGUAGGUGAACCUGCGGAAGGAUCAUUA